Non-coding RNA from Myripristis murdjan (pinecone soldierfish), 860 nucleotides. The record is from the annotation of a RefSeq genome assembly. NCBI's taxonomy places the organism in Eukaryota, Metazoa, Chordata, Actinopteri, Holocentriformes, Holocentridae.
AGACCCAGCCCCUGCACACCAGGCCUCAAUCCUGCAAUCAAGCAUGCACAAACACACAGACAAGACAAGCUAUGCGGCAGAGGGCAUAACAAAUAAAGGAAUUAGGAAAUAGACACAGACUUGUCACAUUUGACUGGAGGACUAUGACAAAUAUUUAAUAAUAAAAAUCUGUGGAGAGCAGACAGAUGAUUUCCAUAGAGAGAAGGCUUUGCAUGGUCAGCUGAUCCUCCAGUGAACUGAGAAGGUUUAUAGUCGUGUGAGUUCAACACUGCAGGACUCACAUGUGUCACUCAACACAGCACAAAGCACAAACAGCAUGACUCUCAUCAGCAUCUUCAUCUGGACGCUGGCCUGCUGCUGCUUCACAGGAUCCAGCAGUCAGAUGACUGUGACUCAGCCUCCAGUGGUGACAUUUACUCCAGGAUCCACUGUCACUCUGUCCUGUAGAACCAACACAACAGUUUUCACAUUUGAUGAUGGAGAUGAGGGGCUUUACUGGUAUCAACAGAAAUCUGGAGAGGCUCCAAAGCUCGUAAUAAAAUAUGUGAAAACACGUGAAUCAGGAACACCAGCUCGGUUCAGUGGCAGUGGAAGCGGGACUGACUUCACUUUGACCAUCAGUGGAGUCCAGGCUGAAGAUGCAGCAGUUUAUCACUGGAGAGAAGCUAAAGACGCAGCUCAGAGGACGACUGGCCAUCUGGAGAUGCUGGUCCACCUGUGGCCGAGGAGUCUUCUGCCAACAACUUUCUGACUCAGCCUGACAAAUCCAAGUCUGUGAGUCUUGGAGGGACUGUGUCCAUCAGCGCCACAGGAAGUUCAAAUAUCGGUGCUGAUCUCAGCUGGUACCUUCAGAAACCCGG